UAAAGAUUAGCGUGUCGGCCAUUAGAAGCAACAUGCAAGUCGAGCGGGGAAGGGUAGCUUGCUACCUGACCUAGCGGCGGACGGGUGAGUAAUGCUUAGGAAUCUGCCUAUUAGUGGGGGACAACAUUCCGAAAGGAAUGCUAAUACCGCAUACGCCCUACGGGGGAAAGCAGGGGAUCUUCGGACCUUGCGCUUAUAGAUGAGCCUAAGUCAGAUUAGCUAGUUGGUGGGGUAAAGGCCUACCAAGGCGACGAUCUGUAGCGGGUCUGAGAGGAUGAUCCGCCACACUGGGACUGAGACACGGCCCAGACUCCUACGGGAGGCAGCAGUGGGGAAUAUUGGACAAUGGGCGAAAGCCUGAUCCAGCCAUGCCGCGUGUGUGAAGAAGGCCUUUUGGUUGUAAAGCACUUUAAGCGAGGAGGAGGCUACUUGGAUUAAUACUCUAGGAUAGUGGACGUUACUCGCAGAAUAAGCACCGGCUAACUCUGUGCCAGCAGCCGCGGUAAUACAGAGGGUGCGAGCGUUAAUCGGAUUUACUGGGCGUAAAGCGUGCGUAGGCGGCUUUUUAAGUCGGAUGUGAAAUCCCUGAGCUUAACUUAGGAAUUGCAUUCGAUACUGGGAAGCUAGAGUAUGGGAGAGGAUGGUAGAAUUCCAGGUGUAGCGGUGAAAUGCGUAGAGAUCUGGAGGAAUACCGAUGGCGAAGGCAGCCAUCUGGCCUAAUACUGACGCUGAGGUACGAAAGCAUGGGGAGCAAACAGGAUUAGAUACCCUGGUAGUCCAUGCCGUAAACGAUGUCUACUAGCCGUUGGGGCCUUUGAGGCUUUAGUGGCGCAGCUAACGCGAUAAGUAGACCGCCUGGGGAGUACGGUCGCAAGACUAAAACUCGAAAGAAUUGACGCCAGGUUG
Molecule: ribosomal RNA, 906 nt
Filed under: uncultured bacterium
Lineage: Bacteria
Description: bacterial SSU rRNA
Rfam family: Bacterial small subunit ribosomal RNA
Source: RNAcentral